Molecule: microRNA precursor, 112 nt
Filed under: Chlorocebus sabaeus (green monkey)
Lineage: Eukaryota; Metazoa; Chordata; Mammalia; Primates; Cercopithecidae
Description: miRNA (ENSCSAG00000021471.1)
Source: RNAcentral
UGAGGCAGGAGAAUCGCUUGAACCCAGGAGGCGGAAGUUGCAGUGAGCUGAGAUUGCACCACUGCACUCCAGCCUGGGUGACAGAGUGAGACUCCAUCUCAAAAAAAAAAAA